ACGCAUUAAGUUCCCCGCCUGGGGAGUACGGCCGCAAGGCUAAAACUCAAAGGAAUUGACGGGGGACCCGCACAAGCGGCGGAGCAUGCGGAUUAAUUCGAUGCAACGCGAAGAACCUUACCAAGGCUUGACAUACACGAGAACGGGCCAGAAAUGGUCAACUCUUUGGACACUCGUGAACAGGUGGUGCAUGGUUGUCGUCAGCUCGUGUCGUGAGAUGUUGGGUUAAGUCCCGCAACGAGCGCAACCCUCGUUCUAUGUUGCCAGCACGUAAUGGUGGGAACUCAUGGGAUACUGCCGGGGUCAACUCGGAGGAAGGUGGGGAUGACGUCAAAUCAUCAUGCCCCUUAUGUCUUGGGCUUCACGCAUGCUACAAUGGCCGGUACAAAGGGCUGCAAUACCGUGAGGUGGAGCGAAUCCCAAAAAGCCGGUCCCAGUUCGGAUUGAGGUCUGCAACUCGACCUCAUGAAGUCGGAGUCGCUAGUAAUCGCAGAUCAGCAACGCUGCGGUGAAUACGUUCCCGGGUCUUGUACACACCGCCCGUCAAGUCAUGAAAGUCGGUAACACCUGAAGCCGGUGGCCUAACCCUUGUGGAGGGAGCCGUCGAAGGUGGGAUCGGUAAUUAGGACUAAGUCGUAACAAGGUAGCCU
This 650-nucleotide ribosomal RNA is filed under the name Microbacterium resistens. Its description in RNAcentral is "bacterial SSU rRNA". It matches the Rfam family "Bacterial small subunit ribosomal RNA", at positions 855 to 1502 of the family's 1533-position model. Lineage: Bacteria; Bacillati; Actinomycetota; Actinomycetes; Micrococcales; Microbacteriaceae. The record is from RNAcentral.